CCUACGGGCGGCAGCAGUGAGGAAUAUUGGUCAAUGGGCGGGAGCCUGAACCAGCCAAGCCGCGUGAGGGAAGAAGGUACAGCGUAUCGUAAACCUCUUUUGUCAGGGAACAAAGGCGGGGACUAGUCCCCGGAUGAGGGUACCUGAAGAAAAAGCAUCGGAUAACUCCGUGCCAGCAGCCGCGGUAAUACGGAGGAUGCGAGCGUUAUCCGGAUUUAUUGGGGUUAAAGGGUGCGCAGGCGGCCUGUUAAGUCAGCGGGAAAAGCCCGGGGCUCAACCCCGGCGAGCCGUUGAAACUGGCGGGCUGGAGUUGGAGAGAAGUACGCGGAAUGCGCGGUGUAGCGGUGAAAUGCUUAGAUAUCGCGCAGAACCCCGAUUGCGAAGGCAGCGUACCGGCUCCACACUGACGCUGAGGCACGAAAGCGUGGGUAUCGAACAGGAUUAGAUACCCGAGUAGUC
Molecule: ribosomal RNA, 459 nt
Filed under: uncultured bacterium
Lineage: Bacteria
Description: partial 16S ribosomal RNA
Rfam family: Bacterial small subunit ribosomal RNA
Source: RNAcentral